GCUCAACCGGGGAGGGUCAUUGGAAACUGGGGAACUUGAGUGCAGAAGAGGAGAGUGGAAUUCCACGUGUAGCGGUGAAAUGCGUAGAGAUGUGGAGGAACACCAGUGGCGAAGGCGACUCUCUGGUCUGUAACUGACGCUGAGGCGCGAAAGCGUGGGGAGCGAACAGGAUUAGAUACCCUGGUAGUCCACGCCGUAAACGAUGAGUGCUAAGUGUUAGAGGGUUUCCGCCCUUUAGUGCUGCAGCAAACGCAUUAAGCACUCCGCCUGGGGAGUACGGUCGCAAGACUGAAACUCAAAGGAAUUGACGGGGGCCCGCACAAGCGGUGGAGCAUGUGGUUUAAUUCGAAGCAACGCGAAGAACCUUACCAGGUCUUGACAUCCUCUGACAACCCUAGAGAUAGGGCUUCCCCUUCGGGGGCAGAGUGACAGGUGGUGCAUGGUUGUCGUCAGCUCGUGUCGUGAGAUGUUGGGUAAAGUCCCGCAACGAGCGCAACCCUUGAUCUUAGUUGCCAGCAUUCAGUUGGGCACUCUAAGGUGACUGCCGGUGACAAACCGGAGGAAGGUGGGGAUGACGUCAAAUCAUCAUGCCCCUUAUGACCUGUGCUACACACGUGCUACAAUGGGCAGAACAAAG
RNAcentral lists this ribosomal RNA (637 nucleotides) under uncultured bacterium. RNAcentral's name for it is "bacterial SSU rRNA". It matches the Rfam family "Bacterial small subunit ribosomal RNA", at positions 607 to 1244 of the family's 1533-position model. The record is from RNAcentral.